Molecule: ribosomal RNA, 724 nt
Filed under: Pseudomonas sp. 110518_136_C_A5
Lineage: Bacteria; Pseudomonadati; Pseudomonadota; Gammaproteobacteria; Pseudomonadales; Pseudomonadaceae
Description: bacterial SSU rRNA
Rfam family: Bacterial small subunit ribosomal RNA
Source: RNAcentral
GCUCAGAUUGAACGCUGGCGGCAGGCCUAACACAUGCAAGUCGAGCGGAUGAAGAGAGCUUGCUCUCUGAUUCAGCGGCGGACGGGUGAGUAAUGCCUAGGAAUCUGCCUGGUAGUGGGGGACAACGUCUCGAAAGGGACGCUAAUACCGCAUACGUCCUACGGGAGAAAGCAGGGGACCUUCGGGCCUUGCGCUAUCAGAUGAGCCUAGGUCGGAUUAGCUAGUUGGUGAGGUAAUGGCUCACCAAGGCGACGAUCCGUAACUGGUCUGAGAGGAUGAUCAGUCACACUGGAACUGAGACACGGUCCAGACUCCUACGGGAGGCAGCAGUGGGGAAUAUUGGACAAUGGGCGAAAGCCUGAUCCAGCCAUGCCGCGUGUGUGAAGAAGGUCUUCGGAUUGUAAAGCACUUUAAGUUGGGAGGAAGGGUUGUAGAUUAAUACUCUGCAAUUUUGACGUUACCGACAGAAUAAGCACCGGCUAACUCUGUGCCAGCAGCCGCGGUAAUACAGAGGGUGCAAGCGUUAAUCGGAAUUACUGGGCGUAAAGCGCGCGUAGGUGGUUUGUUAAGUUGGAUGUGAAAGCCCCGGGCUCAACCUGGGAACUGCAUUCAAAACUGACAAGCUAGAGUAUGGUAGAGGGUGGUGGAAUUUCCUGUGUAGCGGUGAAAUGCGUAGAUAUAGGAAGGAACACCAGUGGCGAAGGCGACCACCUGGACUGAUACU